This 1258-nucleotide long non-coding RNA is filed under the name Citrus x clementina. RNAcentral describes it as "Citrus clementina (C. clementina) long non-coding RNA (CCLE_LNC001311)". Lineage: Eukaryota; Viridiplantae; Streptophyta; Magnoliopsida; Sapindales; Rutaceae. The record is from RNAcentral.
UUGACUUAAUAACUUAAUGAUUGAAAAAUUUCAUUAAGUUAAAAAGAUAAACGAUUUCAUAAAAUUAAAUCAAUUAUGUCAUUAAAUGAAAAAGACAAAUAGCCCCCUAACAUUUUGUUGACACUAUAUUAUCACAAGUUAUAGAGGUAACAAUACUAAUGGUUAUUUAGGUAAAGAUAGCAAUUAAUUAACUAAAUAGGAAUACUUUAAAGAAUAUAUUUUAAUGGUAACAUUAAAACUUUUUAAAUUAAACAAAAUGCAUAAAAUUUUAACUUAAUAACUUAAUAAUUAAAGUUUUUCAUUAAAUUAAAAAAAUAAACGAUUUCAUAAAAUUAAAUCAAUAAUGUCAUUGAAUCAAAAAGACAAAUAGCCCCUAACAUUGUAGACUUUUAUAUAGUACCGCAUCCAACUCAUAUUCGAUGUGGCCCACGCAAUCUUUUCAAAUAACAAGAACCAUGCAAAAAGGUCAGUCUAUAAAUAAUGAAAAUGGCCGGAAAAUAUCUCACAUCAAUAGUUCCUAAACCAAUAAUACAAGUUUGAUAUAAUUUUUAACUCGUAAAGUUAUCUUUUCAACAUGAAUUAGCGAAAUAUACAUCUUAAGUGUGUCCAGCCAUCGAGUCUUUCUAUUAUAAAUUACGCUUGCGAACAGAAGAAACUUAACACUCAUCCAAUGCACUUAUAAGAAAGUUGUAUUUCAAAUGAUUUAUUCAUUUGAUUAUCAUUUAUUUCACUACUCUACCUGGAAUGGAGCAUUUUUACACUUUUUUUUUUCUUUUCUUUUAAACAUAUGCCGGAGUGGAAGAUUGGAAUAUAUAAUUUAUUUGCGCAUAAAUUCUUUUAAAUGCCAGCCCAUCAAGCAAGGCAUCUGAUUCCAAGUGAAGAAAUAAUAUGUUCUCUGCAUUUCGUUUUCUACUAGCAUUUGGCAACAUUAUUGCUGAUUUGCCAUUAAAUUGGUAACUCUCAAAAUUUAAAAGAACGUAUAUAACUAUUUUUUAGAAAGGUAGUGAUGGAGUAAGGUAGUGGAAGUAGAUUGAUAGCAUAGAUAAUACUAAAUAUCGUUAUACUAUCAGACCAAGCCAAUGCAAUAGGUUUAUGUUUUAAUCGAAGUGUGAUUAUAUUUUGUUUUAAUCUAAAUGACUCAAUGAAAUUUUAAUAACAUUUUAAGUGAGAUUAGAUGACAUUCUAAUACAAACGAGUUUAGAAGAGAGAUUUUAACAGAUAAUUCUAAAGGAAAUUUUAAAGGAGUGAUUUUUUUAUU